AUACGUAGGUGGCAAGCGUUGUCCGGAAUUAUUGGGCGUAAAGCGCGCGCAGGCGGCUUCUUAAGUCUGAUGUGAAAUUCUGCAGCUCAACUGCAGGCGGGCAAUGGAAACUGGGGAGCUUGAGCACAGAAGAGGAGAGUAGAAUUCCACGUGUAGCGGUGAAAUGCGUAGAGAUGUGGAGGAAUACCAGUGGCGAAGGCGGCUCUCUGGUCUGUUACUGACGCUGAGGUGCGAAAGCGUGGGGAGCGAACAGGAUUAGACACCCUGGUAGUCCACGCCGUAAACGAUGUGUGCCAGGUGUUAGGGGGGUCCAACCCCUUAGUGCUGAAGUUAACACAUUAAGCAUUCCGCCUGGGGAGUACGGCCGCAAGGCUGAA
Molecule: ribosomal RNA, 377 nt
Filed under: uncultured bacterium
Lineage: Bacteria
Description: bacterial SSU rRNA
Rfam family: Bacterial small subunit ribosomal RNA
Source: RNAcentral